RNAcentral lists this ribosomal RNA (491 nucleotides) under uncultured bacterium. RNAcentral's name for it is "partial 16S ribosomal RNA". It matches the Rfam family "Bacterial small subunit ribosomal RNA", at positions 28 to 507 of the family's 1533-position model. The record is from RNAcentral.
GAUGAACGCUAGCUACAGGCUUAACACAUGCAAGUCGAGGGGAAACGAUGAGAGAGCUUGCUCUCUUAGUCGUCGACCGGCGCACGGGUGAGUAACGCGUAUCCAACCUGCCUCUGACCAGGGGAUAACCCGUCGAAAGUCGGACUAAUACCUUAUGCAGUCGUCGGAAGUCAUCUGAUGACGACGAAAGAUUUCAUCGGUGAGAGAUGGGGAUGCGUCUGAUUAGCUUGUUGGCGGGGUAACGGCCCACCAAGGCGACGAUCAGUAGGGGUUCUGAGAGGAAGGUCCCCCACAUUGGAACUGAGACACGGUCCAAACUCCUACGGGAGGCAGCAGUGAGGAAUAUUGGUCAAUGGGCGUAAGCCUGAACCAGCCAAGUAGCGUGCAGGAUGACGGCCCUAUGGGUUGUAAACUGCUUUUAUGCGGGGAUAAAGUGAGGGACGUGUCCUUCAUUGCAGGUACCGCAUGAAUAAGGACCGGCUAAUUCCGUG